GGUAUAGACCCGAAACCCGGUGAGCUAGCCAUGGGCAGGUUGAAGGUUGGGUAACACUAACUGGAGGACCGAACCGACUAAUGUUGAAAAAUUAGCGGAUGACCUGUGGCUGGGGGUGAAAGGCCAAUCAAACCGGGAGAUAGCUGGUUCUCCCCGAAAGCUAUUUAGGUAGCGCCUCGUGAAGUCAUCUUCGGGGGUAGAGCACUGUUUCGGCUAGGGGGCCAUCCCGGCUUACCAACCCGAUGCAAACUGCAAAUACCGAAGAAUGUUAUCACGGGAGACACACGGCGGGUGCUAACGUCCGUCGUGAAGAGGGAAACAACCCAGACCGCCAGCUAAGGUCCCGAAGUCAUGGUUAAGUGGGAAACGAGGUGGGAAGGCCCAGACAGCCAGGAUGUUGGCUUAGAAGCAGCCAUCAUUGAAAGAAAGCGUAAUAGCUCACUGGUCGAGUCGGCCUGCGCGGAAGAUGUAACGGGGCUAAACCAUGCACCGAAGCUGCGGCAUUCAGAGGACAGAUUUCAGACGACAGAGGACGGAAUGAUGUCUUGAAGAGUUUGAUUAAUCAGGUUCUGGAUAGUAAUCGUCUGUGGCUGUGAAGCCAUAGCGAAAAUGCUGACCGGAUUGGGGCGUCAUCUGUAAGCUGUAUUCUGACGUCUGUUCUCUGGAUGGGUAGGGGAGCGUUCUGUAAGCCGUUGAAGGUGGCGCUGUGAGGCCCGCUGGAGGUAUCAGAAGUGCGAAUGCUGACAUAAGUAACGAUAAAGCGGGUGAAAAACCCGCUCGCCGGAAGACCAAGGGUUCCUGUCCAACGUUAAUCGGGGCAGGGUGAGUCGACCCCUAAGGCGAGGCCGAACGGCGUAGCUGAUGGGAAACAGGUUAAUAUUCCUGUACUGAAUAUGACUGCGAAGGGGGGACGGAGAAGGCUAGGCCAUCCGGGCGACGGUCGUCCCGGUUUAAGCGUGUAGGUGGGAGGAGCAGGCAAAUCCGCUCUUCUGUAACACUGAGGCGUGAUGACGAGCUGCCACGGCAGUGAAGUGGUUGAUGCCCGGCUUCCAGGAAAAGCCUCUAAGCGUCAGGUCAUAUUGAAUCGUACCCCAAACCGACACAGGUGGUCAGGUAGAGCAUACUCAGGCGCUUGAGAGAACUCGGGUGAAGGAACUAGGCAAAAUGGUGCCGUAACUUCGGGAGAAGGCACGCUGGCGGUAGGUGAGGGAGUUUGCCUCCGGAGCCGAAGCCAGUCGCAGAGACCAGCUGGCUGCAACUGUUUAUUAAAAACACAGCACUGUGCAAACACGUAAGUGGACGUAUACGGUGUGACGCCUGCCCGGUGCUGGAAGGUUAAUUGAUGGGGUUAGCCGCAAGGCGAGGCUCUUGAUCGAAGCCCCAGUAAACGGCGGCCGUAACUAUAACGGUCCUAAGGUAGCGAAAUUCCUUGUCGGGUAAGUUCCGACCUGCACGAAUGGCGUAAUGAUGGCCAG
RNAcentral lists this ribosomal RNA (1475 nucleotides) under Photorhabdus luminescens. Its description in RNAcentral is "bacterial LSU rRNA". It matches the Rfam family "Bacterial large subunit ribosomal RNA", at positions 706 to 2014 of the family's 2925-position model. The record is from RNAcentral. Lineage: Bacteria; Pseudomonadati; Pseudomonadota; Gammaproteobacteria; Enterobacterales; Morganellaceae.